RNAcentral lists this long non-coding RNA (4838 nucleotides) under Bemisia tabaci. RNAcentral describes it as "lncRNA ENSSSA1NGG002849". The record is from RNAcentral. Lineage: Eukaryota; Metazoa; Arthropoda; Insecta; Hemiptera; Aleyrodidae.
AUGAGAGUGCUCAUAAAUUCCUACGAUAUGGAUCCAGUAAACAGACAUUCCAUGGAUGUAAUUCAAAAGGAGGGUAAAUGUUGCGGUUGUCGCUCGAUUGAUGACUGGCUGCCAAAAAACGAAGUACCCUCUGCAUGUAUUGAUGCCACAUUUACAGAAAAUAUAAGUUUUUCUUCGGAAAAAAAGAUAGUUUUUAGGGGAAUUUCAAAUGAUACAACGACUGCUCCUCCAUUCAUAGUCCUUGGAACAAUGCCAACAGGGUUUUGUCACAAAAAUGGCUGUUAUUCGUCAUACAGGCAGUUGAUUUCAAGGAAUUUAAGUAUUCUUCUUUCAAUUUUUAUCCUAAAUUCUGUGCUUUUGGGAAUCAGCAUUUAUAUUCAGAGUUACUUUUUUGUUGAAACUGCUCUGAAAGAGGAAGAACAAUGCAUUGCAGUGGCUGAGGCUUCCAGAGAGGAACAAAGGCAAAUAGUCCGACUGAGAAACCAGUCGUCAGGAAGACUUUUUUGUUCCACUCCAACUCAAUACGACGAAUCAUUUGAAAUCGUCGAAUUCACGGAAUCGGAGGAAGAUAUAGUUUACCCAAAAUCUAAAUGGGAAAAAUUUUGGCAGACUUUCAUUGGUAGUGAGAGUCUAUUGGCUUCGAGGUACAUGUCUUCUCAAAGAAGACCACAUAGGAGAGCUUUGGUAAGAAUUCAUAAUUUUCUUGUGUCACUAACUCAUUUUUUUUCUUGAUGCUGCCUCGGAAAGUGCUUGAGUGUUUGCUUCUGAUCAAUCAUAGAAGUACUUGAUAGUACACAGACAUGGGAUUAUAUUUUCACUUAAUGUUGUUCUAUUUUAUGGCUGACCUGCUUGUGAGGCUGUUUGAUUUUUUCUACAACUCUUGAUAUGAUCAGGGUAAUGGUCUGGCUCUGGUAAUGAUUCUCGAUCAUUUUGAACAUGGAGCAUCCAUCUUGCAGAUUUGAGCAAAUAUUAAACAUGCGAAUAUAAUGGAGAUAAUGCACAAGUAAAGCAUUCAAAAUUUUCUAUUUUUGCGAGUUAAAACACCAAAUUUCAUUUUAAGUAGUUUGAGAGAAACUUUAAAAUCCAGUAAAAAGUUUCCAGUCCCUUCACUUUAAGUGAGUCAUUACUCUUCGAUUUGAGAGCAAAAUUACACCAGUCAGUUUAACACCCAGCUUUUUUUUGCUGGUCAGUUGAGCGACUGCAGCUUACAAAUAAUUACUUUUAGGGUUAGAAGACAGGUUCAACGAAAGUGUCUUUGAAUUUAUUUUUUGUUUCAGAAUUCUGAGGAAAAUGAUGGGAACGACAUGGUUCACUGGAUGUACUACUUCUAGAUAACAAAAAAAGGUACCGUUUUAAACAAAAAAUAUAAUUGUGAAAUUGAUUUAUUUUAAAAUUCUUUUUUCCUCUAUCAAAUGUAUGGGAACAGAUUCUUAAUUGUAUGAACAUGUAAAGUGAACUCAAGAAAAGGAACCAAUCUGCGCUUAAAAAUAAAAACAUUCAUAUAAAAAGAUCCUUUUGGUAAAAUUGAUGUACAUGAAUUACUAUAGCUUUUAAAAUGAUGCAACAUUUUUUGUUAUUUAUUUAAAAUCGAAUAAAUUACAUUUGAUCUUUCCUGCAGAGUACAUUUCUGUAAAGAAGAAGAAGAAAAUUUACAUUGACCUUGAGACUAAAAUAAUUAAUUAUUCUACAAUUAAUGCGAGGCUAAAAACAAUCAUACAAACACUGAAACGUAUCGUGCAGAAAUAGAUUCUUCCUGAGGUUUUUCUAACAUUUGAAUUAUAAAUUUUCAAAAAAAUGGGUGUUGAGCAAGUUAUAUAGAGCACGGCUCUCUUACUAACGACCAGAAAUUCAGUCAAUGAUUCACAUUGAUAUUUUAUACCUGGGCCUUAGACAAGGUUCGAGUUGAGAUCUUGUCCGGAAAAAGUGUCACAUGUUUUCCCUUCAGAAUCUUACGUAGAAAUCGAUUCACAAAACAAGGAGUUAAAAAAUCAACUCCAGAACGAAAUAUUAGUAUUUUUAACACGGAGUAAAUUCCCCACAAGAAAUUUUUAACAAAUGAUAUACUGCAACAUGCUUUAAUUCAUGCCUUGUCUAGAGGCCCAUUCAAAACAGCAUUUAGAAAAUGAGUUGACGUUCAGUCAUGACAUCACAUAUAUAAUUUUUGGAUUAUUUCUAACUUCCCCUUCUAUUAUUUUCUUGAAUGAAACUAGUUAUCAUUAAAAGGGCACCAUGGUUUCAAACUAGGCUUUCAUUAUUUUUCAGGGAAUUUUUGAUAGCUAAGUAAAAAACCGUUGUUAGUCUAACAGAGGUUUCAUGGAAAGACACGGAAAUGAUGACAAUGAUACAAAAAAAAAAAAAAAAAAAAAAAAAAAAGCAGGGUACAUCCUAGAUGCAAUGAACUGGAGAAACAGAAAUGAUUAUUGGAUUCUCGGGUUUUCAAUUUUUUAAUUUUCUCUUCUGUUAUUAUCUUUGAAGAGGCUUAUUUUUUUUUAAAAUAAAUCACUCAAUCCUACCUAAAAUUGUUUCUAAGAGGGUACAAUCUAAAUUAGUUUAAUUUUUUUUAUAUCCUUCCGAAGUAGAGUCCACACCAAAUAAGUUUACUCACCUUUAGAACACUGGAAUCACCAAAGAGGAUCUGCCAUCUUGAUUCUUCCAUUUACUAUUGAUGCUAAACUGAAAACAGCUAAUUUUCUGUUGCACGCUAAAGGUGCACAAACUUAUUUUGCAUAGACUCUAAGAACAUUAACAUUCAACAUUCACAUUUCACAUGGCUGCUAAAAAAGCAGGCUCUUCAAGGCAAUGACCUACUGUUUGGCCCUGUGCCAAAGGGCAUUGCAAGUAAAAUUGAUUACCUAUUUUAUAAAAAAAAUUAGAAUUAGUAUCACCAAUAUUUUAGAUGCAGGGCAUCUGUUCUAUACUUCAGUGGCUCCUCCGAAAAAGUUGAUCUGGAUGAUUUUAAAGAUUUUUUACAAGUAUUCUAUCCAAAGUGUUUUAUAUACAUGCAUUUGAUAAAUGGCAAUAAAAAAAUUCAGGUACCUGGAUCAAUUGAAGUACUAAUUAGAAUGAUAAUAAUACAUACUGUUUUGUUACUAAAUCCAAAAGGAUUGGGGUAGUAAACCUUUUGGAGGGGGUAUUUGUCCCUUUUUCAAGAUUUGACUUAAGGCUUCUUUUAACCUGUUUAAUGGAGCUCCACCACCCUCAGGAGAAACCUGCAAAAAUUGAGGUAAAAUUAAAAAAAAAAAAAAAAUAACUGCAAAAGGUGAAAAAAGUUAUUGUCUAAGUUCAAAUCAAUGAUAAUGAAAAGAUUAAAAGAAAAUUUAGGUUUCGAGAGAAAAGAAAGUUGAUGGAAUACAAUAUAGAUAUAUCUUCUGAACCUUCUUGCAGAGCUUGCCAAGUCCACGUUCAUCUGUUUUGAGCAAGAUGAAAAAAUGCAUCUACGGUGUGGCUGCUUUUGCUGCAGUGCGCUUAUUUUAUACCUAUAUUAAGUUGGGAUUUGAUGAGUUUUGCAAAUCAACAUGUUUCCAAAUGCCCGUAACCAUAGAGCAUUUAUUUCCAGCGCUAUUUCAUUUUUAUGAAAAAAAAAAAGAAUAAGGCUGGUUUUGCAAAUGUGCUCCUCAUUGGUUGCAUGUUCUUCCUCAAUCUCAUUUUUACAAGGAACUUUGUUGGGUCAUUUAUUUCAUUUGGUGCAUUUGUAUGAAAAAUAAACAUUUUUAUUAUAUAAUAAUUAGGCACUAAAGCCGAUGGAUAUCAAACCUAAUCUAGCAGUACACUCAUUUUUUUUGUCGCAAAUUUCGAUUUAAAAAAUUGAAAUUUUUAAAUAAUUUGUAAUCAGAGCAAUCGUUCACACCAGUCAUCUUUGUAGAAUUUAAAAUUUUUGAUACAUAACUCUAAAGUCUGAGAUGGAAUGAAGAGGUUGUUUUUUUGAAACCUGUAAAUGUGGUCGAAAAUACAGAGGAGGUUAAAUUUUUUAAGUUAUUGAUGCAAAGAAGAGACGAUAGACAAACUGCGACAAAGUUGAAGACAGAAAAUUCACUUACCUUUUCAAUUAACGGAAAAUAUUCUUUACAGAUAAAUACUAAUAGCUUUUGGAAUUGUUUCUGGUAAAAUUUAGCCAUGUCAGGUCCUGCAACUUGUAUAAAAUCUAGGAGGAAUGUUGCUGUGACAUCAGGUACAGGCUCUGAAAAGUACACAAAUUAUAUUAAACACCUAUUUAUAAAUUGAGAAAGGCGAUUUUUUUCUUAAUUUGUAUUGAAUAAAGGAUAUAAUCAUUUUUAAUCAAUACAGUAAUAAAUGAAGAAAAUUGGGAGCAGGCGACUGUCCACAGGAAAAAGGAUUCGGAUAUCCGAAAAUUCCAAAUUGAAAUAAUUGGGCCACAAUUUAACAGAGUGCUUUACAACAUUUCGGGGUAAAAGAUACCCUAAAAUAUCAGACCAGACCAGAAUUGUGACGAUCAAAAAGACUCUGCAGGGAAAAUCAAAAUGAUUCGGAGCUGGCUUUUGGUUACUAUUUGAUAUGAUGUUUUUUUACGACCUCCUGAGCGAGAUGAGCUUUGAAUCAUACUUUCUAUGCACUUAUUUUGAGAGAGGCGAUGCUAAGAAGUGAAUUUUUCAGCACUUUACUGUGCAUUUUCUUUGAGAGAUGAGGUGCUGCCGCUGUGCCCCAUAUGUAGCCAGUUGAUGCGGCAUCUAUCUGUAACCCUCCCAGCCAGUUGGUAGUGAGGAAACAGGAUCUCUCCUUAAUCACAAACAUUUCUACUGGAAGAUGCGUGUAAAAGUACUGGAAAAUUCACUUUUCUUGAAUAGGCACUUGGAAAGUUCAAUUUUUAAAUUUCAUUGAGC